Long non-coding RNA from Cygnus olor (mute swan), 4668 nucleotides. RefSeq lists it as uncharacterized. The transcript is spliced from 2 exons. NCBI's taxonomy places the organism in Eukaryota, Metazoa, Chordata, Aves, Anseriformes, Anatidae. The record is from RefSeq and is a predicted model, not a curated record.
UGUGUGUUUGUUUGUUAAGGAAUAUAAUUCUGGUUGUCCUUUAUUAUGAGAGCGGAUCCACUCUUCUGAGAGCUGCUUUUGUUAGUGCUAGAGUCUGCACGUCGGUCCCAUUGGGUACGUCAGCCUGUUUGCUUGCGCGGAGCGAGCCUGGUUCAGUCGCUGGCAGUAAAGGAUUUUCAGCUCGUUUUUCCAUAUAGCAACCAGUGUUUACUCUAUCUGUUUUUGCUCUGACAAAGGAAAUUCGUAAUCUUUCCCAGCGUUCACAAUUUCAUACUAAUCAUUUGGGACACUACUUUGUUUAAUUCCUCACCGUUUUCAAAGGUGUAUGAGAUUUUCGGAGAUGAUAUCCUGUGUCUCCUCUUCCCCCUUCCUCUUUAAUAUGCACCCUUAUAAAAUACCUCGCUGAGACACUUAGUUUGCUGUACAGGUAGGGCAAGUUUUUCUCCCCUCAUAGCCCAGUCUGGGUGAGGCUGCCUCGUCCCCCCGUCUGUGAGCAGUCAUGGAGGACUGCAGGAGGAAAGCCUACUUUGGCUCCUGCUCAGUAAUCCACAAGAACGGUGUGCCGUAUGGAAAACUGUACUCAUGUCACUGAAGCCCAAACCAGUAUUUACACUUUUGGCAAGCUUUGCUGUCUAAGUCUUCUGUGUCCAGAGCAUUGAGCACACCAGUGGGUUCGCUGAGCAAGCGGACGCUCUUUGCUGAGACUCGCGAUAGAUGAUUACAUCGCUCAGUUCCCCCUCCCGGCCUUGCGGGGCGUAGUGCAGUACGCCUGCUGCUUCAGAGAUGGAGAAAGUACAGGUGUAAAUCGAUCCUCACAGACUUCUACGGGCAUUCACCCAUGAAAGGCAGUCAUCUUUUUUUUUUUAACAGGAAAGUCAGCAAUUCAAAAUGGUUAGAAAUCACAUAGUAAUGCCAAGAAAAGAAAUGGGAGGAAAAAGUCUUCAAGAGAUGGACUGACGUGGGAAAGUGACGAUGGAGGAGUCCCUGGAAGAGAAAGCAGCUUUGCAGGAAAGGCCCAGCCAGACGCAGGCAGGGAUGGCCCGAGGGCUGGGGUUGCUCGCCGCUGCUUGGCGCUGCUGGCACCCGACAAGAUGCUGGGGCCAAGCAGGGGGCUCACCAGCGCAGGACAGGCAUUGCAAUAGUGCAGCAUAAUAAUUACUAGCAUAAAUGCAAUUAUUUUUCCUUCUGAUGUUAAAUGGCAUUUUAACUGAGUAGCUUUUUCCCUGGUGGAUGGCUUCCAUCCAGGAAACUUCCCAAUAUCCAGGCUUCCAAAUAACAACCAUCCAUAAACUGUCAAAUGUGGAUGCGAUAUAUUUUAACCCCAUCCUGUUACCUGAAUCCCACCUGUUAAAGAUUUCACACAGUCCAAAAAAAAUGAAAACAAAUUGAAGAUACCAUGUGGUACUGGAGGUGUGCCUGACUUUUUUUUUUCCAAAUAGUCUUAUUAUCCUGGAGAGGUUAAAAAUCUGGUGGCAUGGGGUCUUCUCUUCAGAAGGACAGAAAGUAGUAGCAAUACUGAAAUGUGGGUUUGAAUGGAUAGAGUGGCCUUAUAUCAGUAAUUGUGGUGAUAUAUUCAGAAAAUCAGGUCCCCAGAAAAGUUAAUUUGCAAUCUUGAUUUUUGGCAGGAAUUGGAAAUUAAAGUUACACAUCAUGGACUGCUUUAGGUUUUCAUCGAAAGGAGAAGUAUUGUUUGUCAGGUAGUAGCUAGAGUGGAUGUGAGCGGUUUUCUGUGUCAAAGCAGUCCGUAUUUCUUUGGGAUGAUGGACUGCUCAAGAGGUACCGGGUUCUUUGGGUUUCAGCCGAAGGAAAAGUAUCAUUAGGACUUUUUCAGGAACUCACAGAGCUGCAGCUGGCAGAUCUUCCCAGGGUCUCACUCCUGGUGGCUGCUCUUCUCCCAGUCGUAGCUGCUGAAAGCCUGGCGACAGGUCCCAGUGGUGCUGCGGAUGCCGAUGUCUGUUGGUCAGAACCGGCGGCUCCGGAGCUUGUCUCCCGUCCCAGCCUUCCAGGAGCCGACUGCUCAGCUCUGCCCUGCCCCCAGCACAGCUGGCUGCUGGCUUGUCCCGCACGUUUUGGUAGUGAGAGCAGCAAUUCGAUGGUAAUCGUAACUCCGUUACCGCUCAGCAUGGUGGAGUCCAGCAGUCUGCUGGUCUGGGUCUGCGCUGCGCUUCUGCAUUUGCGUGCAUUUAAUCAACGUCUUAUAUACCGUGUCUUCCAAAUUCCUCUGUGUUGCUUUCUUCUGUUAAAACAGUUCCUAGUUGGCUAAUUACUCUACCCAUAUGCUGAACCUGCAUGCAAACUUCGUUCAACAAGAGCUGUGUAUGUUCACAGUAUGUCCUCCAAUGCCACAGUCAGGAGCUGUUCCCCAUCUGCGCGUAUUCCUCUGUGCAGUAGAUGGUGUUUUGCAUGGACAUCCCGUGCCUUAGCUGUUUACCCAUUACUUUUAUAACACUGCGACAGCAGUUACACUUAAUGUUUUAAGGUCUGCAUGGUACCGAUGUACAUUACUACUGGAUGGCACCUUAGGAGGUCUAAUGUAUCGGGUUAUGCUCCAGCUACUUUCCAAGUAGAACAUGAGUGCCAUCUGAGCAACAAAAUGCCUUCUACUGUUCAUAUGUGUGACUUAGCAAAAGCUGAAAACUUUGUCCCAGAAGAGUUUGAGAAGUGCUGUUGUUCACGAGAAAGUGCUGCUGUCGAGGGUGCCCCAGCAGGGCUGUGAAAAGACCACUUUCCAUCUGACACAGCCGCGCUGGCAAAAUACUGCUGCGAACUUCGGUUGGUUUAUUAUGUUCCUUGCUGCCUGGAAAGGUGCUGUUUUACCAUGUCAGAUUUAUGAAGACGAUAUCUUAAGCUUUAAGUUAAGUAAAAUUAUACUCUGCAUACCAAGUCUCACAGCAUCUCUCAUUAGGGUUUGAUAUCCACAUUGUCCCUUUGACUUGGUAAGUCAGAGACUCCCUGAUAAUUGCACAGGAGUCUGUAAUUCUCCAUUUUAGGGAUUCCGAGACUGUUAGGUGGUACUGGUGGCUCCGUUCUUUGUUCUGUUUUCUGCUGAAUGGACCUUUUUCAGCGUGUUUGAAGUUUCCUUGGCUGCUCCUUGAUGGGAUGACGUUAGCCUCGAUGGAGGUGCUCACUGUCUUAGUGCAGUGUUUGACAUCCAGAGCCGAGUGAAGCAGGGCCAACAAUUCCAUGAGCACUUGAAGCUGGCAUUGCCACAGAGAGCAGCAGUCUUGCUUCCACUGCCUCUUGCUGCUUGUUCUGCCCACCCAGCUCCUCUUGAAUCUUUGCCAGCUGGAGUGUUCGUGUGGCUGUAGGGUGACAUGGAUUAGGGAAUCAAUACGACUGUGAAAACACCUCUCUUAUUUGCAUUCAUUGACAGGAUUGUUUUCGGCUGCAUCAAUUCCUUGUUUUAUUUCUUUUCAUUAUUUAUUUAUUUAUUUAUUUAUUUAUUGCAUGGCCUGGUACAAUGAUAAGGGAGUUGAAAAGGAGGAGAAGAUAAGUGGAUGAGUAGGAGCAGAGAGAAGGUUGGCAGUGCCAUUUUGUAUGUUCUUAAAGUGUCUGCAGAAUUACAGUCUGUGGUGGUUUUUCCCUUUCUCUUCCCUAAUCUGUAACCGAGGGCAUACAGUUUACAUGACAGUAUGAUAAUUCUUUUUUCAUUUCCUUUUUUUCAUGCACGAUAGAGGAAUGCUUUGUUCGUGUAGUUCAGAUUUUGUUGCUUAGAAGAGCUGUGCCAUCACGAAAAAAACCUUGCUGGCACAUGCUGUUCCUACAUACUUCUGUCCUGGGUUUGACAGAAACACCACUGUAUGAGGAAGCCUCCAGAUUCAGCAGCCCAUGGGUGGGUGCACUGUAAGUGAAAUAAUCUGUUGUCUACAUUGCAUCUUUACAGAGCUAUCUCCUUCCUGUUUCGGACUUUCACAGUUGGAAAUACUGGAAGAGUCUUUGUCAGAAACCUCUAAGGAGGUCCUUCCAGGUCUGAAGGAGAGAACCUGGCGUGACUCAGCCGGAGCAGUGAGUCACUGGGCUCUCACUGCAAAACUCCACCUGUGGGUUGCAGAUUUGGUUACACCAGUCCACACAGCUGAUAAGGUUUCCUUAGUAACUGGGAGGAUGUGAUCGGUGGUGUUCUGACGAGAAAUCUGCUUGCCCUGGAUGGAUCAGUUUCUUCUCCCCGGGUACUGGUGAAGAGCGACCAGGCCCCACAGCUUCCCGGGCUGUCUGCCUCCCACAGAGACCCCUUGCUAGUUCUGCACUGCUUUGGUCGAUCCGAUGUUCCAGUUCUCACCUCUUGCACCCGGCGUAUUGUGCAGCCUUUUCAUCAGAGCCUAAUGUGGGUGAUGAUCAUAGCACAAAAACUGCAUGUUGUCCUGCUUUUCUCUAUUGCUUUUGCAGGUAACAAAACACAAGAAAAAAAAAAGGCAGACUCUCUAUGCCAUCUAUGCCCUAAAGAAACUAGCUCCCAGGGCUGGAUCAGACUAAUGCAGAUACCUUUCCAUUCUAACAAAGGUUGUCCUACUGCAAAAUCAGUCCUCAGCUGAGGGAAGUUUAAUGUGAAUACUUCCGUUAAGUGGCUGUUGAUGUUUUGAUCCUCAAAAGAAUCAGGCAACUUAGGCUGUUGAUUGCUGCAGAGUCCCUUGUUUGACUACCGUCCUCAAUAAAAAAGCAUGAACUUUU